Molecule: ribosomal RNA, 468 nt
Filed under: uncultured bacterium
Lineage: Bacteria
Description: partial 16S ribosomal RNA
Rfam family: Bacterial small subunit ribosomal RNA
Source: RNAcentral
GACGAACGCUGGCGGCGUGCUUAACACAUGCAAGUCGAACGGAAAGGCCCUGCUUUUGUGGGGUGCUCGAGUGGCGAACGGGUGAGUAACACGUGAGUAACCUGCCCUUGACUUUGGGAUAACUUCAGGAAACUGGGGCUAAUACCGGAUAGGAGCUCCUGCUGCAUGGUGGGGGUUGGAAAGUUUCGGCGGUUGGGGAUGGACUCGCGGCUUAUCAGCUUGUUGGUGGGGUAGUGGCUUACCAAGGCUUUGACGGGUAGCCGGCCUGAGAGGGUGACCGGCCACAUUGGGACUGAGAUACGGCCCAGACUCGUACGGGAGGCAGCAGUGGAGAAUAUUGCACAAUGGGCGGAAGCCUGAUGCAGCAACGCUGCGUGCGGGAUGACGGCCUUGGGGUUGUAAAGCGCUUUCGCCUGUGACGAAGCGUGAGUGACGGUAAUGGGUAAAGAAGCACCGGCUAACUACGUG